GUCCUGUUGAAAGCUUCCUGGGUCAGGUUGGGAUUGGGAUGAGUGUAGGUGCCUGAGGGUGAUUUCUGGGAUCUACUUUUUGCAGAUAAGAGGUUUUAGAGCUGGAAGGGAUUUUAGAGACCUCUUUAAUGAGGAUGUUGAGGACAACAAAGGAAAAAUAAAUUACCUAAAACCACACAGCUAAUGAGACCGGAAGCGGGGACAGGGGUCUUCUGACUCCUAAGAUGGCUGUCCACCAGGCCCCCUUCACGGUGCUGUUCCUUGGCUUUCGUGGGGACAGAAUCGGGUAAAGGGUGGAAAAAGGAGCCAACUUUUCUGGAGACUCAGGACCCAUUUGGCAGAGAAGCACAUAGAAAAGCCAGAGAAUGCAGCCUGGAGAGAUGGAAGAUGCCAGUCAGGUCUCACUAGUGUCUAGGAAUGGAAGGUUUUCUCAGCAUCCAAUACCGACUGGAAGAAGCUCCUGCCAGCCAUGUAAGAAGGACAAUGUCAGGCUCUAAUCAGGGAGAGCCUUGGAGAGCUGAGGAGAUUCCCCAAUUUCUUCCUGCUCAUCAUUUUCAGUCCCUGACGUCCAUUUCCACAGAGGAAUUAGCAGGUGAGAAGCCGAGUCAGUGGGAGGCAGCACUCCGGAACUGAAGGACUCCAUCCUCAAGGGCUGACCAUCCCAUCUUGUGGACCCCUUCAUCUCCAGACGAUGCUGCCCAGGACCUGAGGGUUCUUAGACUGCCCUCUCCUUCUGUGCUUUUUCUCUAGUCGUGCUCCAGGUUAGUGCCACAGUCUGUAAGAAGCAAGUGGAAUCAGAGAAUAUCAGCAGCACAAGGGGCUUCAGAGACUGCCUCAUCCCACUUUCUAAUUUGACAUUUGGAUAAAACGAAGUCCAUGGCAGAGAGAUGACAAGUCUCAGGGCACAUCACUAAUUAGUGACUAGCUUUAGGUCCUGAGCCUAGGCUGGCAAGUUUGGCAUAGUAAUAGAUAAUAGCAAGAGUGUACACACACACACACACACACACACACACACACACACACACACACACACACAAACUCUUGUUUAGUUCACUAUGUGCAUGGUGCUGUUGUAAAAUAUGUAUAGGGUUGUGUGCAUAUUAUCUUUCCCAUUUUAUGCAUAAGGAGUACAAAGCUCAGAGAUGUUAAGUGACCUGCCCAAAGUCACAGCUGGUGACUGGCAGAACCAGAACGUGAACUCAGGCAGUCUGGCUCUGCUCUUGACCCCUGCACAGUCCUGACAUACUAGCGUGCGGUCUUUACUCACUUAUGGUCCAGAGGAAGGAUCUCUAAUAAAUUCCUUGGCCAGAGGAUUCCUGGCUUGAUA
This 1327-nucleotide long non-coding RNA is filed under the name Bos indicus x Bos taurus (hybrid cattle). Its description in RNAcentral is "lncRNA (ENSBIXG00005008049.1)". Lineage: Eukaryota; Metazoa; Chordata; Mammalia; Artiodactyla; Bovidae. The record is from RNAcentral.